CCUCCUAUCCCUGGGGAGGGCAGUGAGCCACCCUGCUAGGCAGGUAUUAGCAAUUCAAUGGCUUUCUUAUGAACACUCCGACCCUAUCAUUGCCAUUCCCUUUGGACCCCCAAAAAUAUUGGUAAUUUUUCUUAUUGUCACACAGGACCCAAAUGUCAGUAGUUACACGUGAGACAGGACAAACCCUGAGCAUAACACCUGAUCAACACAGGGUUAAAUUCACAGGGAUCGAUGGUGUGGAAAAACAAUGCCCCACUGCAAAAAUUUCACUCUGGCUGCCAGAGGAAUGAAAAUUAACAAGGGUAGAAGUAUUAGUUGGUGCUGCAUAUACUAAUAUUUUAGGAUUUGACAUGCUGCGUGGCUGUAUGUGGAAACUCCCUGACGGAACUGUGUGGACUUUCGCGACACAUCAAAGGGAUUCAGGCGCAGUGAGACUGAGUCUGUUACAAACAUCCAUACUCUUAUCCCCCAGUAAAAUCAUUAAUGGUCGGCAAUAUCUGUUGUCAGCAGCAGCACUUACGGGGAUUGACAGGGUGGUAACAGAAUUGGAAGAACGAGGCUUUAUUAAAAGGACCCAUUCACCUUACAAUUCACCAGUGUGGCCGGAAUCCUGAGUGAACUGUGUAUGGACAGCUGGAGGAUGACGAAUCAACAGUUUGGAUUACUAAUGCUAUGCUUUACCCUGACCUUAAUGCAAUUACAGACCUUAAAGGAAACUUAGCUACUGGGGUUGUGCAUGGAGCUGAGGUGUUUCACCGUGGCAUCUAACCAGGCAUUAUCACGGUAUAGCGCAAUUGGAACACCUCGGAACAAAAAGGAUCCAAAUCUCUCUGCUUUAGUUUUACAUGGGGAUAAAGUAUUUUCAAAAGAUGAAUGGAGUUGGAAUGAUUCCCUAAGAAUGGCUGAACUUCAAGCCAUGUCUGGCCAGACAAUACAAAUUGGUUGCUGAAUAACUAACGGAUCCACUUACAAUAGGCCGACUGAAAUUAGGACAGUUCAUGCAGAUUCUACCAGAUCACAACAUUAUAGUACUGAUUGUACCAAAAUAACUGAACCAAAUUUUGAUUGCUGGCACAGUUUUACUUUCACUAAACCUGUAAUUGUGUACUUUGGGGUUACAGAGGCACAGAGUUACUAUCUGAAUUUAUGGGUAAUACAGAAACAUCAUCGACUGCAAAGAAUUAGAAGCCUCUGCCCCCGCAGAUAUUUGAAAAUGAACCAACUCGGCCUCCCAUUGGUCUAAGUCCUUCCAUCUUCAACCCUGGUCCUCACAUAAUUAAAAAUGUGGGACAACAACAAGUCCUCUUUAACCCUAGCUGAUCUUUAAAAAGGGUAGAUGCAAUUGUGUUGUUGGGAAUAGGAUUAGGUAUAUUAAAUG
RNAcentral lists this long non-coding RNA (1378 nucleotides) under Anas platyrhynchos platyrhynchos (common mallard). RNAcentral describes it as "lncRNA (ENSAPLG00000019615.1)". Lineage: Eukaryota; Metazoa; Chordata; Aves; Anseriformes; Anatidae. The record is from RNAcentral.